RNAcentral lists this ribosomal RNA (468 nucleotides) under uncultured bacterium. RNAcentral describes it as "partial 16S ribosomal RNA". It matches the Rfam family "Bacterial small subunit ribosomal RNA", at positions 28 to 507 of the family's 1533-position model. The record is from RNAcentral.
GACGAACGCUGGCGGCGUGCUUAACACAUGCAAGUCGAACGGAAAGGCCCUGCUUUUGUGGUGUUCUCGAGUGGCGAACGGGUAAGUAACACGUGAGUAACCUGCCCUUCACUUUGGGGGAACUUCAGGAAACUGGGGCUAAUACCGGACAGGAUCUCCCGCUGCAUGGUGGGGAUUGGAAAGUUUCGGCUGGUGGGGAUGGACUCGCGGCUUAUCGGCUUGCUGGUUGGGGAGUGGUUUACCAAGGAUUUGACCGGUAGGCGGCCUGAGAGGGUGACCAGCCCCAUUGGGACUGAGAUACGGACCAGACUGCUACAGGAGGCAGCAGUGGGGAAUAUUGCACAAUGGGCGCAAGCCUGAUGCAACAACGCCGCGUGCGGGAUGACGGCCUUCGGGUUGUAAACCGCUUUCGCCUGUGACGAAGCGUGAGUGACGGUAAUGAGUGAAGAAGCACCGGCUAACUACGUG